AUUGAACGCUGGCGGCAGGCCUAACACAUGCAAGUCGAGCGGAUGAAGGGAGCUUGCUCCUGGAUUCAGCGGCGGACGGGUGAGUAAUGCCUAGGAAUCUGCCUGGUAGUGGGGGAUAACGUCCGGAAACGGGCGCUAAUACCGCAUACGUCCUGAGGGAGAAAGUGGGGGAUCUUCGGACCUCACGCUAUCAGAUGAGCCUAGGUCGGAUUCGCUAGUUGGUGGGGUAAAGGCCUACCAAGGCGACGAUCCGUAACUGGUCUGAGAGGAUGAUCAGUCACACUGGAACUGAGACACGGUCCAGACUCCUACGGGAGGCAGCAGUGGGGAAUAUUGGACAAUGGGCGAAAGCCUGAUCCAGCCAUGCCGCGUGUGUGCAGAAGGUCUUCGGAUUGUAAAGCACUUUAAGUUGGGAGGAAGGGCAGUAAGUUAAUACCUUGCUGUUUUGACGUUACCAACAGAAUAAGCACCGGCUAACUUCGUG
Molecule: ribosomal RNA, 484 nt
Filed under: uncultured bacterium
Lineage: Bacteria
Description: partial 16S ribosomal RNA
Rfam family: Bacterial small subunit ribosomal RNA
Source: RNAcentral